Molecule: long non-coding RNA, 291 nt
Filed under: Solanum lycopersicum (tomato)
Lineage: Eukaryota; Viridiplantae; Streptophyta; Magnoliopsida; Solanales; Solanaceae
Description: partial TCONS_00099087
Source: RNAcentral
GUUGGGUAAGCCUCUAUAUGAAUGACUAGACAGUAUUGGUGAUUAAACCUGCACGAUGGAUAGGGCCGCAAGAUAGGCACGAACAUCACUGUUACAAUAGCCAAAAUUUUGGAGAUCUCCGAUUAUUGUGAACUUCUCUCUUCCUGGUUUUCUGUCCAUGGUGGAGUUUGUUGCUCAUGUUUUCAGCUUAUUUUGAGAAAGUUAAAAAGGAGAGGAAUAAAGCUGCUACUAUUAUUCUAAAUGUUGUACCUUGCACACAAUUUGUCCAGAGCAAAGACUAUAAAACCUGAG